Oncorhynchus tshawytscha (Chinook salmon) is the source of this 409-nucleotide long non-coding RNA. The record is from Ensembl. NCBI's taxonomy places the organism in Eukaryota, Metazoa, Chordata, Actinopteri, Salmoniformes, Salmonidae.
GUAAUAAUGAGAGCCAGGUGUGUGUAAUGAUGAGUGCCAGGUGUGUGUAAUGAUGAGUGCCAGGUGGGUGUAUUAAUGAGAGCCAGGUGUGUGUAAUGAUGAGUGCCAGGUGUACGUAAUGAUGAGUGCCAGGUGUGCGUAAUAAUGAGAGCCAGGUGUGCGUAAUAAUGAGUGCCAGGUGGGUGUAAUGAUGAGUGCCAGGUGGGUGUAAUGAUGAGUGCCAGGUGUGUGUAAUGAUGGGUGCCAGGUGUGUGUAAUGAUGAGUGCCAGGUGUGUGUAAUGAUGAGUGCCAGGUGGGUGCAAUGAUGAGUGCAAGGUGUGUGUAAUGAUGAGUGCCAGGUGUGUGUAAUGAUGGGUGCCAGGUGGGUGUAAUGAUGAGUGCCAGGUGUGUGUAAUGAUGAGUGCCAGG